UACGUAGGGUGCAAGCGUUAAUCGGAAUUACUGGGCGUAAAGCGUGCGCAGGCGGUUUUGUAAGUCUGUCGUGAAAUCCCCGGGCUCAACCUGGGAACUGCACUUGUGACUGCAAGGCUGGAGUACGGCAGAGGGGGAUGGAAUUCCGCGUGUAGCAGUGAAAUGCGUAGAUAUGCGGAGGAACACCGAUGGCGAAGGCAAUCCCCUGGGCCUGUACUGACGCUCAUGCACGAAAGCGUGGGGAGCAAACAGG
RNAcentral lists this ribosomal RNA (253 nucleotides) under uncultured bacterium. RNAcentral describes it as "partial 16S ribosomal RNA". It matches the Rfam family "Bacterial small subunit ribosomal RNA", at positions 524 to 776 of the family's 1533-position model. The record is from RNAcentral.